This 450-nucleotide ribosomal RNA is filed under the name uncultured bacterium. RNAcentral describes it as "partial 16S ribosomal RNA". It matches the Rfam family "Bacterial small subunit ribosomal RNA", at positions 354 to 796 of the family's 1533-position model. The record is from RNAcentral.
GUGGGGAAUAUUGGACAAUGGGCGAAAGCCUGAUCCAGCCAUGCCGCGUGUGUGAAGAAGGUCUUCGGAUUGUAAAGCACUUUAAGUUGGGAGGAAGGGUAGUAACCUAAUACGUUGCUACUUUGACGUUACCGACAGAAUAAGCACCGGCUAACUUCGUGCCAGCAGCCGCGGUAAUACGAAGGGUGCAAGCGUUAAUCGGAAUUACUGGGCGUAAAGCGCGCGUAGGUGGUUCGUUAAGUUGGAUGUGAAAGCCCCGGGCUCAACCUGGGAACUGCAUCCAAAACUGGCGAGCUAGAGUACGGUAGAGGGUGGUGGAAUUUCCUGUGUAGCGGUGAAAUGCGUAGAUAUAGGAAGGAACACCAGUGGCGAAGGCGACCACCUGGACUGAUACUGACACUGAGGUGCGAAAGCGUGGGGAGCAAACAGGAUUAGAUACCCGAGUAGUCC